CGGUGAUAGUGUGCCAGAAGUUCACCCAAGGUGUCAUCCUCGUCCGGGAUAUACUCCCUGAACCAUCGCUGCAUCGCUGUCUCAAUAUAACUCGGCAUCUCAUCCUCGUUGGGUACAGUGGGGCAUCGGCUAUACUAGCCUCAACAUCUCUCCUCAUAUUCCACAUCAACUGCCUCAUAUCAGAAUCCAUCAUCUCAAACAAUUCCGCCAUCAAA
This 215-nucleotide long non-coding RNA is filed under the name Salvia miltiorrhiza (redroot sage). RNAcentral describes it as "long non-coding RNA (SMIL_LNC001997)". The record is from RNAcentral. Lineage: Eukaryota; Viridiplantae; Streptophyta; Magnoliopsida; Lamiales; Lamiaceae.